RNAcentral lists this ribosomal RNA (253 nucleotides) under uncultured bacterium. Its description in RNAcentral is "partial 16S ribosomal RNA". It matches the Rfam family "Bacterial small subunit ribosomal RNA", at positions 524 to 776 of the family's 1533-position model. The record is from RNAcentral.
GACGUAGGGCGCGAGCGUUGUCCGGAAUCACUGGGCGUAAAGGGUGCGUAGGCGGGUCUUUAAGUCAGGGGUGAAAUCCUGGAGCUCAACUCCAGAACUGCCUUUGAUACUGAAGAUCUUGAGUUCGGGAGAGGUGAGUGGAACUGCGAGUGUAGAGGUGAAAUUCGUAGAUAUUCGCAAGAACACCAGUGGCGAAGGCGGCUCACUGGCCCGAUACUGACGCUGAGGCACGAAAGCGUGGGGAGCAAACAGG